GGCCCAGACUCCUACGGGAGGCAGCAGUAGGGAAUCUUCGGCAAUGGGGGGAACCCUGACCGAGCAACGCCGCGUGAGUGAAGAAGGUUUUCGGAUCGUAAAGCUCUGUUGUAAGAGAAGAACGGGUGUGAGAGUGGAAAGUUCACACUGUGACGGUAUCUUACCAGAAAGGGACGGCUAACUACGUGCCAGCAGCCGCGGUAAUACGUAGGUCCCGAGCGUUGUCCGGAUUUAUUGGGCGUAAAGCGAGUGCAGGCGGUUAGAUAAGUCUGAAGUUAAAGGCUGUGGCUUAACCAUAGUAUGCUUUGGAAACUGUUUAACUUGAGUGCAGAAGGGGAGAGUGGAAUUCCAUGUGUAGCGGUGAAAUGCGUAGAUAUAUGGAGGAACACNCGGUGGCGAAAGCGGCUCUCUGGUCUGUAACUGACGC
Molecule: ribosomal RNA, 427 nt
Filed under: uncultured Bacilli bacterium
Lineage: Bacteria; Bacillati; Bacillota; Bacilli
Description: bacterial SSU rRNA
Rfam family: Bacterial small subunit ribosomal RNA
Source: RNAcentral